GCCGAAGUGGUGGAAUUGGCAGACACGCUGUCUUGAGGGGGCAGUGGACGUUGAGUCCGUGCGGGUUCGAGUCCCGCCUUCGGCACCA
Molecule: transfer RNA, 88 nt
Filed under: Candidatus Desulfofervidus auxilii
Lineage: Bacteria; Pseudomonadati; Thermodesulfobacteriota; Candidatus Desulfofervidia; Candidatus Desulfofervidales; Candidatus Desulfofervidaceae
Also listed under: 2 other names
Description: tRNA-Leu
Rfam family: tRNA
About the family: Transfer RNA (tRNA) molecules are approximately 80 nucleotides in length. Their secondary structure includes four short double-helical elements and three loops (D, anti-codon, and T loops).
Source: RNAcentral